This 1381-nucleotide long non-coding RNA is filed under the name Monodelphis domestica (gray short-tailed opossum). RNAcentral's name for it is "lncRNA (ENSMODG00000046109.1)". Lineage: Eukaryota; Metazoa; Chordata; Mammalia; Didelphimorphia; Didelphidae. The record is from RNAcentral.
GUGCUCUUCUAUGGAUACAUUCCAAUCUUUCUGUGCCUUUCCUAAAAUCUGAUACACAGAACUAAAAUCUCUAUUCCUUCCCAAAAAAUUGUUAGUUAGGGGGCCAGCUGAGUGGCUUAGUGGUUUGAGAACCAGGUCUAGAGAUGGGAGGUCCUAGGUUCAACUCUGGCCUCAGACACUUCUCAGCUGUGUGACCCUGGGUAAGUCACUUACCCCCAUUGCUUAGCUCUUACCACUCUUUUGCCUUGGAACCAAUACACCAGGGGUCCCCAAACUAUGGCCCUUGGGCCACAUGUAGCCCCCUGAGGCCAUGUAUCGGGCCCCCACCACACUUCUGGAUGGGGCACCUCUUUCAUUGGUGGUCAGUGAGAGGAGCUCUGUAUGUGGUGUCACUCACCUACAGUACUACUUCUGGUGACGUAAUCCUUUGUAUGGUGCCUUAGAAUGAGGUGCUGCACAAAGGAUUAUGUGGCUUCACAAUGGAAGAUGUCAGCAUGGUGAGCAGCGAUCUGGGGGAGGGAAUUCUGCACUGUGUAUACUGCUGCCCAGUUAGGGUUAGAGUUAGGCUUUUAUAGUCCUCCAAUGAUCUGCGGGACAGUGAACUGGCCCCCUGGGUAAAAAGUUUGGGGACCCCUGCCACACAGUAUAGAUUCUAAGGCAGAAGGACUUUUCAAUUGGAAGGAAUAUCAGAAAUCAUGUAGUCCAGUGUCCCCGGAGAAGAGAAUGACAGGCCACUCCAGCACCUUUGCCAAGAAAACUCCAAAUGAGAUCAUGAAGAGUAGGACAUGAUGGAAAACAAGUGAAGGACAACAAAAGUCAGCCUCCAAAUCCUACCGAAAUCUGCCCCACAACAUCCCUAAUAGGUAACAUCUUUGGACCUGGAGUGUUAUUCCUAAAAGUGUUUAUCAGAAGAUAGGUGGCAUGUGAAAUGGACUAUGAAGGAAGGCUACAUAGUGAAAUGGAUAAAGAGUUGGCCUUUGGGUUAGGAAGAACUGGGUUUAAGUCUCUCUUUAGACAAAUACUGGCUCUGAGAUCCUGGACAAGUUUCAUCAUUGUUAUUACGAGGAUGAAGAAGUGGCUAAAAUGGUUCUCCUGACUUUUGGGGGUGUAUGCUUCCUUGAAUAGAAAGGCAGAAAAAUCUUAAAGAAAAUGAGAAGGGCUCCAUAUCAGUACAGCCAAUGAAGAAUAUAGAAGGGUGUCUCGGCAGGAGAAGCAGUUCUAUAAAAAGAUUCAGAUGGAGAUUGCCAGCAAGACAUUGUUUGCUAUAUGUAUACAAACUAGAUAAAGACUUUGGAAACGAGGGGAAAAAGACAGGCUAAACAGAACACAUGAGAAGACAGUAAAGGAAAAAGUAGUUAGAAUAAAGGUGAGAAGAAAACCA